GAUGAAUAACGCAGCGAAAUGCGAUAAGUAAUGUGAAUUGCAGAAUUCAGUGAAUCAUCGAAUCUUUGAACGCACAUUGCGCCCACCAGCACUCUGGCGGGCAUGCCUGUUCGAGCGUCAUUUCAACCAUCAAGCCCCCAGGGGCUUGUGCUGGGGCCCUGCGGCUGCCCGCAGGCCCUGAAAACCAGUGGCGGGCUCGCUAGUCACACCGAGCGCAGUAGCACAUCUCGCUCAGGGCGUGCGGCGGGCUCCUGCCGUGAAACCCCCCACUGUAACCCCAAAGGUUGACCUCGGAUCAGGUAGGAAUACCCGCUGAACUUAAGCAUAUCAAUAAGCGGAGGA
This 342-nucleotide unclassified non-coding RNA is filed under the name soil metagenome. RNAcentral describes it as "partial contains 5.8S ribosomal RNA, internal transcribed spacer 2, and large subunit ribosomal RNA". The stretch from base 1 to 120 matches the Rfam family "5.8S ribosomal RNA", at positions 35 to 154 of the family's 154-position model. The record is from RNAcentral.